CAGGGAGAAGAGCAGAAAAGAGAAUUCGGUUUAAUACUAAUUGUAAUUCCCACUGCGUCCUCUGAGCAGGGCUCGGAUGACGUUUCAGCAGCUGAGAGUCAUGCUCAAGGUUGAGUGAAUGACACUGGUAGUGACUGACAGUACCAGUGAGACCUUUCAAGAUGAGCAAAGGGCACUGACACAGAAAACAAAUCUACAUCGGAUGGACAAAACUGUCCAGCACAUUUCAAUUCAUUAGCAAUUGAUCGAAAAGUAUGAACACAAACAAUUCAGGUUGACAACAAAAUGGGAACUUGUACACUUAAAAAUGUCCUAUUUCCUGCAUCUUCAGAGUAAACAUUUGAUUAAUCGGGUAAUAUUGGUAGGAAUUAACUUUUUUCCACCAGUGCAGAAACAUGUUUUGGUUUGUCCAAAUGCGUCAGACAUUUUUACGUUACGGUUUUGCUGCCUAUUCUGAGCGUAGUGCUCGUUUUCAG
Gasterosteus aculeatus aculeatus (three-spined stickleback) is the source of this 476-nucleotide long non-coding RNA. Lineage: Eukaryota; Metazoa; Chordata; Actinopteri; Perciformes; Gasterosteidae. The record is from Ensembl.